RNAcentral lists this ribosomal RNA (928 nucleotides) under Nocardiopsis sp. RNAcentral describes it as "bacterial SSU rRNA". It matches the Rfam family "Bacterial small subunit ribosomal RNA", at positions 61 to 992 of the family's 1533-position model. Lineage: Bacteria; Bacillati; Actinomycetota; Actinomycetes; Streptosporangiales; Nocardiopsidaceae. The record is from RNAcentral.
GUCGAGCGGUAAGGCCCUUCGGGGUACACGAGCGGCGAACGGGUGAGUAACACGUGAGCAACCUGCCCCUGACUCCGGGAUAAGCGGUGGAAACGCCGUCUAAUACCGGAUACGACCUCCCACCUCAUGGUGGAGGGUGGAAAGUUUUUCGGUCAGGGAUGGGCUCGCGGCCUAUCAGCUUGUUGGUGGGGUAACGGCCUACCAAGGCGAUUACGGGUAGCCGGCCUGAGAGGGCGACCGGCCACACUGGGACUGAGACACGGCCCAGACUCCUGCGGGAGGCAGCAGUGGGGAAUAUUGCGCAAUGGGCGAAAGCCUGACGCAGCGACGCCGCGUGGGGGAUGACGGCCUUCGGGUUGUAAACCUCUUUUACCACCAACGCAGGCUCCCAGUUCUCUGGGGGUUGACGGUAGGUGGGGAAUAAGGACCGGCUAACUACGUGCCAGCAGCCGCGGUAAUACGUAGGGUCCGAGCGUUGUCCGGAAUUAUUGGGCGUAAAGAGCUCGUAGGCGGCGUGUCGCGUCUGCUGUGAAAGACCGGGGCUUAACUCCGGUUCUGCAGUGGAUACGGGCAUGCUAGAGGUAGGUAGGGGAGACUGGAAUUCCUGGUGUAGCGGUGAAAUGCGCAGAUAUCAGGAGGAACACCGGUGGCGAAGGCGGGUCUCUGGGCCUUACCUGACGCUGAGGAGCGAAAGCAUGGGGAGCGAACAGGAUUAGAUACCCUGGUAGUCCAUGCCGUAAACGUUGGGCGCUAGGUGUGGGGACUUUCCACGGUUUCCGCGCCGUAGCUAACGCAUUAAGCGCCCCGCCUGGGGAGUACGGCCGCAAGGCUAAAACUCAAAGGAAUUGACGGGCGCCCGCACAAGCGGCGGAGCAUGUUGCUUAAUUCGACGCAACGCGAAGAACCUUACCAAGGUUUGACAUCACCC